This 657-nucleotide ribosomal RNA is filed under the name Bacillus sp. HPC1315. Its description in RNAcentral is "bacterial SSU rRNA". It matches the Rfam family "Bacterial small subunit ribosomal RNA", at positions 31 to 664 of the family's 1533-position model. The record is from RNAcentral. Lineage: Bacteria; Bacillati; Bacillota; Bacilli; Caryophanales; Bacillaceae.
AAAGGCUUGGGCGGGGCGUGCCUAAUACCUGCACUGUCGAGCGAACAGAGAAGGAGCUUGCUCCUUUGACGUUAGCGGCGGACGGGUGAGUAACACGUGGGCAACCUACCUUAUAGUUUGGGAUAACUCCGGGAAACCGGGGCUAAUACCGAAUAAUCUAUUGUCCCUCAUGGGACAAUACUGAAAGACGGUUUCGGCUGUCGCUAUAGGAUGGGCCCGCGGCGCAUUAGCUAGUUGGUGAGGUAACGGCUCACCAAGGCAACGAUGCGUAGCCGACCUGAGAGGGUGAUCGGCCACACUGGGACUGAGACACGGCCCAGACUCCUACGGGAGGCAGCAGUAGGGAAUCUUCCACAAUGGGCGAAAGCCUGAUGGAGCAACGCCGCGUGAGUGAAGAAGGAUUUCGGUUCGUAAAACUCUGUUGUAAGGGAAGAACAAGUACAGUAGUAACUGGCUGUACCUUGACGGUACCUUAUUAGAAAGCCACGGCUAACUACGUGCCAGCAGCCGCGGUAAUACGUAGGUGGCAAGCGUUGUCCGGAAUUAUUGGGCGUAAAGCGCGCGCAGGUGGUUUCUUAAGUCUGAUGUGAAAGCCCACGGCUCAACCGUGGAGGGUCAUUGGAAACUGGGAGACUUGAGUGCAAAAAAGGGAUAGUG